UACGUAGGCAGCAAGCGUUGUUCGGAGUUACUGGGCGUAAAGAGCGCGUAGGCGGUGCCCUAAGUCUGUUGUGAAAUCUCCCGGCUUAACUGGGAGGGUGCGGUGGAAACUGGGGUGCUUGAGUGUGGGAGAGGUAAGCGGAAUUCCUGGUGUAGCGGUGAAAUGCGUAGAUAUCAGGAGGAACACCGGUGGUGUAGACGGCUUACUGGACAACGACUGACACUGAGGCACGAAAGCGUGGGUAGCAAACAGG
RNAcentral lists this ribosomal RNA (253 nucleotides) under uncultured bacterium. RNAcentral's name for it is "partial 16S ribosomal RNA". It matches the Rfam family "Bacterial small subunit ribosomal RNA", at positions 524 to 776 of the family's 1533-position model. The record is from RNAcentral.